Electrophorus electricus (electric eel) is the source of this 163-nucleotide small nuclear RNA. Its record names the gene U2. It matches the Rfam family "U2 spliceosomal RNA". From Rfam's summary of the family: U2 is a small nuclear RNA (snRNA) component of the spliceosome (involved in pre-mRNA splicing). Complementary binding between U2 snRNA (in an area lying towards the 5' end but 3' to hairpin I) and the branchpoint sequence (BPS) of the intron results the bulging out of an unpaired adenosine, on the BPS, which initiates a nucleophilic attack at the intronic 5' splice site, thus starting the first of two transesterification reactions that mediate splicing. The record is from Ensembl. Lineage: Eukaryota; Metazoa; Chordata; Actinopteri; Gymnotiformes; Gymnotidae.
GUGGCUCCUCGCCUGUAGGCUAAGAUCAAGCAUAGCAUCUGAUCUUUGGUUUAGUAUCUGAUACAUCCGCUAUAUAAGGACUACAUAUUAAACGGAUUUUGGAACAUGGAGAGGGAAUAGGUGCUUGCUCCCUCUUUAUUCGUUUCAGCUCAGUGAAAUAUGU